GACGAACGCUGGCGGCGUGCUUAACACAUGCAAGUCGAACGGAAAGGCCCUGCUUUUGUGGGGUGCUCGAGUGGCGAACGGGUGAGUAACACGUGAGUAACCUGCCCUUGACUUUGGGAUAACUUCAGGAAACUGGGGCUCAUACCGGAUAGGAGCUCCUGCUGCAUGGUGUGGGUUGGAAAGUUUCGGCGGUUGGGGAUGGACUCGCGGCUUAUCAGCUUGUUGGUGGGGUAGUGGCUUACCAAGGGUUAGACGGGUAGCCGGCCUGAGAGGGUGACCGGGGACAUGAGGACUGAGAUAGGGCGCAGACUGCUACGGGAGGCAGCAGGGGGGAAUAUUGCGCAAUGGGCGGAAGCCUGAUGCAGCAGCGCCGCGUGCGGGAUGACGGCCUUCGGGUUGUAAACCGCUUUCGACUGUGACGAGGCGUGAGUGACGGUAAUGGGUAAAGAAGCACCGGCUAACUACGUG
This 468-nucleotide ribosomal RNA is filed under the name uncultured bacterium. RNAcentral's name for it is "partial 16S ribosomal RNA". It matches the Rfam family "Bacterial small subunit ribosomal RNA", at positions 28 to 507 of the family's 1533-position model. The record is from RNAcentral.